This 303-nucleotide ribosomal RNA is filed under the name uncultured bacterium. RNAcentral describes it as "partial 16S ribosomal RNA". It matches the Rfam family "Bacterial small subunit ribosomal RNA", at positions 507 to 809 of the family's 1533-position model. The record is from RNAcentral.
AGCAGUAGCCGCGGGAAUACGAAGGGUGCAAGCGUUACUCGGAAUUACUGGGCGUAAAGCGUGCGUAGGUGGUGGUUUAAGUCCGUUGUGAAAGCCCUGGGCUCAACCUGGGAAUUGCAGUGGAUACUGGGUCACUAGAGUGUGGUAGAGGAUAGUGGAAUUUCCGGUGUAGCAGUGAAAUGCGUAGAGAUCGGAAGGAACAUCUGUGGCGAAGGCGACUAUCUGGGCCAACACUGACACUGAGGCACGAAAGCGUGGGGAGCAAACAGGAUUAGAUACCCCAGUAGUCCCUGUCUCUUAUAA